UGCCAGCAGCCGCGGUAAUACGUAGGGGACAAGCGUUAUCCGGAAUCACUGGGCGUAAAGGGUGCGUAGGCGGUUUAACAAGUCAGAAGUGAAAGGCAUUGGCUCAACCAAUGUAAGCUUUUGAAACUGUUAGACUUGAGUGCAGGAGAGGAAAGUGGAAUUCCUAGUGUAGCGGUGAAAUGCGUAGAUAUUAGGAGGAACACCAGUGGCGAAGGCGACUUUCUGGACUGUAACUGACGCUGAGGCACGAAAGCGUGGGGAGCGAACAGGAUUAGAUA
Molecule: ribosomal RNA, 278 nt
Filed under: uncultured bacterium
Lineage: Bacteria
Description: partial 16S ribosomal RNA
Rfam family: Bacterial small subunit ribosomal RNA
Source: RNAcentral